RNAcentral lists this ribosomal RNA (253 nucleotides) under uncultured bacterium. Its description in RNAcentral is "partial 16S ribosomal RNA". It matches the Rfam family "Bacterial small subunit ribosomal RNA", at positions 524 to 776 of the family's 1533-position model. The record is from RNAcentral.
UACAGAGGUCUCAAGCGUUGUUCGGAUUCAUUGGGCGUAAAGGGUGCGUAGGCGGCGCGGUAAGUCGGGUGUGAAAUCUCGGAGCUUAACUCCGAAACUGCAUUCGAUACUGCCGUGCUUGAGGACUGGAGAGGAGACUGGAAUUUACGGUGUAGCGGUAAAAUGCGUAGAUAUCUGCAGGAACACCCGUGGCGAAGGCGGCUGGCUGGAUCGCAACUGACGCUGAGGAACGAAAGCUAGGGGAGCAAACAGG